UACGAAGGGGACUAGCGUUGUUCGGAAUUACUGGGCGUAAAGCGCACGUAGGCGGAUUUGUUAGUCAGGGGUGAAAUCCCGGGGCUCGACCUCGGAACUGCCUUUGAUACUGCAAAUCUCGAGUCCGAUAGAGGUGGGUGGAAUUCCUAGUGUAGAGGUGAAAUUCGUAGAUAUUAGGAAGAACACCGGUGGCGAAGGCGGCCCACUGGAUCGGUACUGACGCUGAGGUGCGAAAGCGUGGGGAGCAAACAGG
Molecule: ribosomal RNA, 253 nt
Filed under: uncultured bacterium
Lineage: Bacteria
Description: partial 16S ribosomal RNA
Rfam family: Bacterial small subunit ribosomal RNA
Source: RNAcentral